UACGGGGGGGGCAAGCGUUGUUCGGAAUUACUGGGCGUAAAGGGCUCGUAGGUGGCCAACUAAGUCAUACGUGAAAUCCCUCGGCUUAACCGGGGAACUGCGCCUGAUACUGGUUGGCUUGAGUUUGGGAGAGGGACGCGGAAUUCCAGGUGUAGCGGUGAAAUGCGUAGAUAUCGGGAGGAACACCAGUGGCGAAGGCGACUUCCUGGCCUGUUCUUGACGCUGAGGCGCGAAAGCUAGGGGAGCAAACGGG
Molecule: ribosomal RNA, 253 nt
Filed under: uncultured bacterium
Lineage: Bacteria
Description: partial 16S ribosomal RNA
Rfam family: Bacterial small subunit ribosomal RNA
Source: RNAcentral